Molecule: ribosomal RNA, 445 nt
Filed under: uncultured bacterium
Lineage: Bacteria
Description: partial 16S ribosomal RNA
Rfam family: Bacterial small subunit ribosomal RNA
Source: RNAcentral
GUGAGGAAUAUUGGUCAAUGGGCGAGAGCCUGAACCAGCCAAGUCGCGUGAAGGAAGAAGGAUCUAUGGUUCGUAAACUUCUUUUGCAGGGGAAUAAAGUGCGGGACGUGUCCUGUUUUGUAUGUACCCUGAGAAUAAGGAUCGGCUAACUCCGUGCCAGCAGCCGCGGUAAUACGGAGGAUCCGAGCGUUAUCCGGAUUUAUUGGGUUUAAAGGGUGCGUAGGUGGUUUGAUAAGUCAGCGGUGAAAGUUUGCAGCUUAACUGUAAAAAUGCCGUUGAAACUGUCGGACUUGAGUGUAAAUGAGGUAGGCGGAAUGCGUGGUGUGGCGGUGAAAUGCAUAGAUAUCACGCAGAACUCCGAUUGCGAAGGCAGCUUACUAAGCUACAACUGACACUGAAGCACGAAAGCGUGGGGAUCAAACAGGAUUAGAAACCCCUGUAGUCC